This 497-nucleotide ribosomal RNA is filed under the name uncultured bacterium. RNAcentral's name for it is "partial 16S ribosomal RNA". It matches the Rfam family "Bacterial small subunit ribosomal RNA", at positions 28 to 507 of the family's 1533-position model. The record is from RNAcentral.
GAUGAACGCUGGCGGCGUGCCUAAUACAUGCAAGUCGAGCGAACGGACGAGAAGCUUGCUUCUCUGAUGUUAGCGGCGGACGGGUGAGUAACACGUGGAUAACCUACCUAUAAGACUGGGAUAACUUCGGGAAACCGUAGCUAAUACCGGAUAAUAUUUUGAACCGCAUGGUUCAAAAGUGAAAGACGGUCUUGCUGUCACUUAUAGAUGGAUCCGCGCUGCAUUAGCUAGUUGGUAAGGUAACGGCUUACCAAGGCAACGAUGCAUAGCCGACCUGAGAGGGUGAUCGGCCACACUGGAACUGAGACACGGUACAGACUCCUACGAGAGGCAGCAGUAGGGAAUCUUCCGGAAUGGGCGAAAGCCUGACGGAGCAACGCCGCGUGAGUGAUGAAGGUCUUCGGAUCGUAAAACUCUGUUAUUAGGGAAGAACAUAUGUGUAAGUAACUGUGCACAUCUUGACGGUACCUAAUCAGAAAGCCACGGCUAACUACGUG